RNAcentral lists this transfer RNA (76 nucleotides) under Candidatus Nomurabacteria bacterium. RNAcentral's name for it is "tRNA-Arg". It matches the Rfam family "tRNA". From Rfam's summary of the family: Transfer RNA (tRNA) molecules are approximately 80 nucleotides in length. The record is from RNAcentral. Lineage: Bacteria; Candidatus Nomuraibacteriota.
GCCCUGGUAGCUCAAUGGAUAGAGCAGCUCCGUCCUAAGGAGAAGGUUGGUCGUUCGACUCGACUCCAGGGUACCA